This 839-nucleotide long non-coding RNA is filed under the name Carica papaya (papaya). RNAcentral's name for it is "long non-coding RNA (CPAP_LNC000351)". The record is from RNAcentral. Lineage: Eukaryota; Viridiplantae; Streptophyta; Magnoliopsida; Brassicales; Caricaceae.
CCAAUAUCUUCCAUCUCUUCUUCUUCCUCCCUUUUUCAUUUUCUUUUUAUCUCAUUUUUGCAUGGCGGUUUCAUUUUCUCUAUUACCUUUUUUAUAUUUAAAUAUAAUUAAAUUCAUAACAAACAAUCUGCUAAUACACCAGCUGCUCCACUUCCACAUCUCCUCGUGAUCACCGCUCCUUCCUCUCUUCUUCAUCUUCUUCCUUUCUUUCUUUCCUUUCCCCUCAGCUAAUCGAACCCUCUCUGGUAAGUCCAAUUUAUGUACAUCUGUUUUCUUUCUUAAUAUUUGUAUUUCUACGUUUCUUAUUCUUAUCCAUUUUCUUCUGCUUUACUUGGUUCCCCCUUUCUUCGAUUUGUUUCCAAUUUCCGCUCUCUCUUGUUAUUCUUUGUGUCUUUACUCCAUGUUCGGUGUUCUUUUGUUUAAAUAUCACAUUUCAUGUCUCUUUAUUUCGUUACUAUUUACCAAAACGACUGCUGAUGGGUAAUGAAUCAUCGUGUUUGAUUUUUGGAAGUGUCACUGUUUGAGACUUUUUAAACUUGAGAUCAAAGGUGUUGUUAGUAACGUCAUAAUUUGUUGGCUUACGUAUUCAUGAAUUACCAUUUCUAGCUCCAACUUGUUGAUGGUAAUUUUGCAGAUAAUGAAUGUUGUCAAGUCCAAAUUUUGUGAAAACCCAACUCAGACAUGUUAUUCCUGGUCUUGCAUUGAUGGCAUAUCCCUUUUCUCUGUUUCUUCUAUGGUUUUUAGAACGUGUUUCUUUGAGAAUCAGACAUUUCCUUUUAAGUUAUUAACUAGUUAUGUUCACCUCACAUGCUUGUUCGAUCUUUCUCCUGCAUGGUNNN